RNAcentral lists this long non-coding RNA (322 nucleotides) under Vitis vinifera (wine grape). Its description in RNAcentral is "long non-coding RNA (VVIN_LNC005045)". The record is from RNAcentral. Lineage: Eukaryota; Viridiplantae; Streptophyta; Magnoliopsida; Vitales; Vitaceae.
UCAACAACAUCGUCAAGCAAUCAAGCCACUCUCUCAUCAUGAUCCAUCUAUCUUCGUGUAGAGCUCACCUCAGGUCAAACCAUCUCAGACACUACCAGGUCAGAUCAAGGAAAUGAUGGAAAGAAUAGGCAAUGGUACUAUAAUAUACGAAGGCGAAUAAGAAUGGUAAAGGUCAUAUAACGGUACCAAGAGGUGGUGUCAUGUCAAGCUCAAAAUGGGUAGGUCAUCAAGUCCAUAGAGUCAGGGUAUGGAUAUGGAUAUGGAUAUGAUACUGCUCUGAACGGAAGGUGAAAUGGGUCACAGUCUCGAACUCCCUAAGUCG